RNAcentral lists this ribosomal RNA (850 nucleotides) under uncultured archaeon. RNAcentral's name for it is "bacterial SSU rRNA". It matches the Rfam family "Archaeal small subunit ribosomal RNA", at positions 39 to 897 of the family's 1478-position model. The record is from RNAcentral.
UUCGAUUAAGCCAUGCGAGUCGUGAGUCUUAGGGACUCGGCGUACCGCUCAGUAACACGUGGGUAACCUGCCCUAUGCUGGGGAAUAACCUCGGGAAACUGAGAAUAAUGCCCCAUAGUUCACCACGCCUGGAACGGUGGGUGGAUGAAAGCUCCGGCGGCAUAGGAUGGGCCUGCGGCGUAUCAGGUCGUAGGGGGUGUAAAGUACCCUCUAGCCAUCGACGCGUACGGGUGUUGGGAGACAUUGCCCGGAGAUGGAUUCUGAGACACGAAUCCAGACCCCACGGGGUGCAGCAGGCGCGAAAACUUGGCAAUGCGAGCAAUCGUGACCAGGGAACUCCAAGUGCAUCGGGUAAGACCGAUGCUUUUCUUGACUCUUCAACGGUCUUGGAAUAAGGGGUGGGUAAGGACGGCGCCAGCCGCCGCGGUAAUACCGGCGCCUCAAGUGGUAGUCGCUUUUWUUGGGCCUAAAACGUCCGUAGCCGGUUUGGUACAUUCGUGGGUAAAUCAAGGCGCUCAACGUCUUGAAUUCUGCGAGCACGGCAGACUUGGGACCGGGUGAGGUGUGGGGGUACUCUCAGGGUAGGGGUAAAAUCCGUCAUCCUGAGAGGACCACCUGUUGCGAAGGCGCCACACUAGAACGGAUCGACGGUCAGGGACGAAGCCUAGGGGCACGAACCGGAUUAGAUACCCGGGUAGUCCUAGGUGUAAACGCUGUGGACUUGAUGUUGGGAGUGCUCCGAGCACCCUCAGUGUCGAAGCGAAGGUGAUAAGUCCACUUCUUGGGGAGUACGGUCGCAAGGCUGAAACUUAAAGGAAUUGGCGGGGGAGCACUCAACUGAGGAUUUGCG